AAGUCGUAACAAGGUCUCCGUUGGUGAACCAGCGGAGGGAUCAUUACAAAACGAGUGCUCCGGCUCUCCAACCCAUUGUGAACAUACCUAUCGUUCCCUCGGCGGGCUCAGCGCGCGGCCGGCCUCCGGGCCUCCGGGCGUCCGCCGGGGAAAACCAAACCCGAAUUUUUCGUGUAUAUCUGAGGGGCGAAAGCCCGAAAACAAAAUGAAUCAAAACUUUCAACAACGGAUCUCUUGGCUCUG
RNAcentral lists this unclassified non-coding RNA (243 nucleotides) under air metagenome. RNAcentral describes it as "partial contains small subunit ribosomal RNA, internal transcribed spacer 1, and 5.8S ribosomal RNA". The stretch from base 1 to 46 matches the Rfam family "Eukaryotic small subunit ribosomal RNA", at positions 1786 to 1831 of the family's 1831-position model. The record is from RNAcentral.